This 74-nucleotide transfer RNA is filed under the name Candidatus Caccopulliclostridium gallistercoris. RNAcentral describes it as "tRNA-Trp". It matches the Rfam family "tRNA". From Rfam's summary of the family: Transfer RNA (tRNA) molecules are approximately 80 nucleotides in length. Lineage: Bacteria; Bacillati; Bacillota; Clostridia. The record is from RNAcentral.
AGGGGUGUAGUUAAACGGUAUAGCGAUGGUCUCCAAAACCAUUAUUGAGGGUUCGAUUCCUUCCACCCCUGCCA